UGAACCAGUGGGAGGGAUCAUUG
Molecule: ribosomal RNA, 23 nt
Filed under: Diaporthe caulivora
Lineage: Eukaryota; Fungi; Ascomycota; Sordariomycetes; Diaporthales; Diaporthaceae
Description: partial small subunit ribosomal RNA
Source: RNAcentral